AAAGGGGCAUUGAGGAAAAGACCCUCAGACAUGUCACAAUAUAAUUAUCGGUGGUUGGUUUGAUCUAGAUGUAUCAAUUAGCUUCUUUUUUUUGUUUAGCUACAAGUGUGUUUACCUUGCUAUGAUACAUCUGUGAAACGUGCCCAUUGUUGUGAAUUCACGUCUUUCUUCUUUUCGUGAUUCACAUGUUUCUGAUGGAAGUGCUAAGACAUGCACUGCGUGCAGCUUUAAAUAGAUGCACCGAGGAUCUGGCUGAUUACUGGAAAUUUGGAAGAUUGUUCUUUAUCUGCACUGUCACUUCUGGUAAAUAUUUAUGAAGAAGAAAUAUACUUUAUUAAUCCCCAAGGGGAAAUUAGUUCUCUGCAUUUAACCCAUCCUUAGUUAUUAAGGAGCAGUGGGCUGCAGUGAUGCGACCAGGAAGCAACUGGGGGUUCAGUGCCUUGCUCAAGGACACUUCGACUUGCAACUAAUGGGGAGAGCCGGGAUCGAACCGACAACCUUGGGGUUGCAGGACGGCCCCCUUACCCCACUGAGCUACAGCCGCCCACAAUUAUGGACCUCUUGUGUGUGGUCAACAGAUGAGACUGGAGUCUGACUUGUCUCCCGGCCAAGACGAUGAAUCUAAAUCUGAGGCUGCCUUCCAGGUACAUAUGCUCGCGCUCUGAAACAGUGCCAUUACUCCUGUGCCUCGGCUGCCUCUAAAUCACAGACCAUCAGCGAUUGGGAAAUCUACCACAGCGUGUUGUGAAUUUGACCCCUCUGUUCUACACUGGGAUUUACAACCUGCCGCUUGUGUGUCAUUCAGAAUGAUUCAUAAUGAGUCCCAGACUCCUGACUAUCAUACGAUAAUCAAUCGGACUCUCGACAGGUCACCAGACAAUAACACUUUAGACUCUGCAUCAUUCUCACUUACAGUUUUUCUCGAUUGAUUACACACAAAAACUGGAACUUAUAACACAAUGACCACAACCUGUAACUCAUGUGCCUACUCCCUAAACCAAUUCUGCUAAACUAUAAGCACAAUUAUCUGCUUUAGACACAGAUUUCAAUUGUUAACCACACUUUCUUCAAAACACUAAACACCAUCCUCUCUACUUUACACACUUCAUCAAUGUUUUUUGUUAUUAAAUGGAAUUUCAUCCUAGAAUUAUAACAUACUGAUACUGACAUUGUUCCUUGUAUUGUAUGUCGCCUACAUCCAAUACAUAUAUUAGAGUGGAUUCAAUUAUGGCUUAAAGUGAUCACGUGUGAAUUAAAGUGAUCGCGUUUUAAUUAAAAUGAUCAGAUGUGAAUUAAAGUGAUAACGUGUGAAUUAAAGUGAUCAGAUGUUAAUUAAAGUGAUAACGUGUGAA
Pseudoliparis swirei is the source of this 1352-nucleotide long non-coding RNA. RefSeq lists it as uncharacterized. The record is from RefSeq and is a predicted model, not a curated record. The transcript is spliced from 3 exons. NCBI's taxonomy places the organism in Eukaryota, Metazoa, Chordata, Actinopteri, Perciformes, Liparidae.